Molecule: unclassified non-coding RNA, 387 nt
Filed under: soil metagenome
Description: partial contains 5.8S ribosomal RNA, internal transcribed spacer 2, and large subunit ribosomal RNA
Rfam family: 5.8S ribosomal RNA (bases 1-120)
Source: RNAcentral
GAUGAAGAACGUAGCGAAAUGCGAUAAGUAAUGUGAAUUGCAGAAUUCAGUGAAUCAUCGAAUCUUUGAACGCACCUUGCGCUCCUUGGUAUUCCGAGGAGCAUGCCUGUUUGAGUGUCAUGAAAUUCUCAACCUUUUCAGCUUUCUUUGUUGAUCAGGCUUGGAUGUGGGAGUAUGCGGGCUUCUCAGAAGUCGGCUCUCCUGAAAUGCAUUAGCGGGACCUUUGUUGCCUGGCUUUGGUGUGAUAAUUAUCUACGCCAUUGUAGUCAAGCAGCUUAAAAUGAGGUUUCAGCUUCUAACCGUCUCCCCUGAGACAACUUUUUGGCAAUUUGACCUCAAAUCAGGUAGGACUACCCGCUGAACUUAAGCAUAUCAAUAAGCGGAGGA